CUACGCACUCCUACGGGAGGCAGCAGUGGGGAAUAUUGCACAAUGGGCGCAAGCCUGAUGCAGCCAUGCCGCGUGUAUGAAGAAGGCCUUCGGGUUGUAAAGUACUUUCAGCAGUGAGGAAGGUGGGUAUGUUAAUAGCAUACUCAUUUGACGUUAGCUGCAGAAGAAGCACCGGCUAACUCCGUGCCAGCAGCCGCGGUAAUACGGAGGGUGCGAGCGUUAAUCGGAAUUACUGGGCGUAAAGCGCAUGCAGGUGGUUUGUUAAGUCAGAUGUGAAAGCCCGGGGCUCAACCUCGGAAUUGCAUUUGAAAACUGGCAAACUAGAGUACUGUAGAGGGGGUAGAAUUUCAGGUGUAGCGGUGAAAUGCGUAGAGAUCUGAAGGAAUACCGGUGGCGAAGGCGGCCCCCUGGACAGAUACUGACACUCAGAUGCGAAAGCGUGGGGAGCAAACAGGAUUAGAUACCCUGGUAG
This 472-nucleotide ribosomal RNA is filed under the name uncultured bacterium. Its description in RNAcentral is "bacterial SSU rRNA". It matches the Rfam family "Bacterial small subunit ribosomal RNA", at positions 329 to 793 of the family's 1533-position model. The record is from RNAcentral.